This 391-nucleotide ribosomal RNA is filed under the name Tasmanipatus barretti. RNAcentral's name for it is "partial 28S ribosomal RNA". It matches the Rfam family "Eukaryotic large subunit ribosomal RNA", at positions 666 to 946 of the family's 3401-position model. Lineage: Eukaryota; Metazoa; Onychophora; Udeonychophora; Euonychophora; Peripatopsidae. The record is from RNAcentral.
CCAAGGAGUCUAACACGUGCGCGAGUCGUAGGGUUUCCCCUCGAAGCCCGAAGGCGCAAUGAAAGUGAACCGUAGGCGGGAUCCCCUUACUAAUCUCCUGCGGGAGUCGGGGCGCACCGCCGGCCCGUCUCGUUCGGUCGGCUCGUUCUUCCUUUUUUUUUUUUUUUUUUCCGAUCCCUUUCGCGGGGGACCGGUAUAUAAAAAAAAAAAAAAAACAGGGCUUGUCGGCGGAGGCGGAGCGAGAGCGUACACGUUAGGACCCGAAAGACGGUGAACUAUUCCCGGACAGGACGAAGCCGGAGGAAACUCCGGUGGAGGUCCGCAGCGAUUCUGACGUGCAAAUCGAUCGUCGGAUCCGGGUAUAGGGGCGAAAGACUAAUCGAACCGUCUA